RNAcentral lists this long non-coding RNA (878 nucleotides) under Aedes aegypti (yellow fever mosquito). Its description in RNAcentral is "lncRNA AAEL023297". Lineage: Eukaryota; Metazoa; Arthropoda; Insecta; Diptera; Culicidae. The record is from RNAcentral.
GAAUAAUAUUGUAGGGUUGAAUCUAAAAACGCGCCUAUUAGAACCAACAAUUCUUGUUUGCAUUGAAUCAAUCCAUCUGGUGGUUUGUUUCUAAUCCGGCAUAUUUUUGAAACUACAAAAUUCUGUGUCGAAUGAAUUAUUGAUGCUCGAUUUUCAUUUCAACAAAUAACAAUUGUUAUUUCAACAAUAUCAUUUUGUUGAAUCAACUUUUUUUUUCUUGUCGCCAUUUUGUAUUUAAGAAAUAAACAGAAAAGUUGAAGGCAAAAAUUAAAUUUUGUUUAAGGUUGAAAAAGAAGUGUCCACGGCAUAUUCGGUAGCUGUCAAUUUUAAUAUCUUUGGUGAGUAUAUAUUUUCCGUCGUAGUUAAAUACAAUAUUCUUUUAGUAAUCAUACGAAAAAGAUGAUUUUACUAUUCAUGAUGGUUAUGACGGUGUAAAUUCGAAAGGAAGGAAAGCUAUAGAAUUUACUAAAUUUGUUCCGACCGGUCGGUUUAGCAGCGAUGAUUGUACCGGACUAUAUCAUCUUACACCUAUUAAUUCGAAACACAAAUUCAAUGAUCAAAUAUAAUCUGUAAAGCUUAUGCAUUGAAUUAGUAGGAAUGUUAAUAAAAAAAUAUUUUUAAAUCAAUGAAAUGCUUUGUUAAUAUCAAUGAACAGAAUUGUAGAAACAACAAAAGUUGGUUUUUCUUUCAACACACAUUCUGUGUUACUUCAAUAUGGGGUGUUUUUAGAAUUAACAAAUUAUAUUUUUGUUUCAAUUGCAUUUAUUUUUGUUUUUGACAGCUGGCUAUUUUGAGACAUUUUUAGAUACAACAAUUUAUUUUGUAGGAAUUAAUGGAAGUUAUCAUUGAGUCAACAAAAAUUGCCGAUAAGCCGUGAG